This 254-nucleotide ribosomal RNA is filed under the name uncultured bacterium. Its description in RNAcentral is "partial 16S ribosomal RNA". It matches the Rfam family "Bacterial small subunit ribosomal RNA", at positions 524 to 776 of the family's 1533-position model. The record is from RNAcentral.
UACGAAGGGGGCGAGCGUUGUUCGGAUUUACUGGGCGUAAAGGGCGCGCAGGCGGUCUUGAAAGUCAGGCGUGAAAGCCCCGGGCUUAACCUGGGAAUUGCGCUUGAUACUCUGAGACUGGAGUACGGGAGAGGAGAGUGGAAUUCCCAGUGUAGAGGUGAAAUUCGUAGAUAUUGGGGAAGAACACCAGUGGCGAAGGCGGCUCUCUGGACCGUAACUGACGCUGAGGCGCGAAAGCGUGGGGAGCAAACAGG